This 550-nucleotide ribosomal RNA is filed under the name uncultured bacterium. RNAcentral describes it as "bacterial SSU rRNA". It matches the Rfam family "Bacterial small subunit ribosomal RNA", at positions 355 to 896 of the family's 1533-position model. The record is from RNAcentral.
UAGGGAAUCUUCGGCAAUGGACGGAAGUCUGACCGAGCAACGCCGCGUGAGUGAAGAAGGUUUUCGGAUCGUAAAGCUCUGUUGUAAGAGAAGAACGAGUGUGAGAGUGGAAAGUUCACACUGUGACGGUAUCUUACCAGAAAGGGACGGCUAACUACGUGCCAGCAGCCGCGGUAAUACGUAGGUCCCGAGCGUUAUCCGGAUUUAUUGGGCGUAAAGCGAGCGCAGGCGGUUAGAUAAGUCUGAGGUUAAAGGCUGUGGCUUAACCAUAGUACGCUUUGGAAACUGUUUAACUUGAGUGCAAGAGGGGAGAGUGGAAUUCCAUGUGUAGCGGUGAAAUGCGUAGAUAUAUGGAGGAACACCGGUGGCGAAAGCGGCUCUCUGGCUUGUAACUGACGCUGAGGCUCGAAAGCGUGGGGAGCAAACAGGAUUAGAUACCCUGGUAGUCCACGCCGUAAACGAUGAGUGCUAGGUGUUAGACCCUUUCCGGGGUUUAGUGCCGUAGCUAACGCAUUAAGCACUCCGCCUGGGGAGUACGACCGCAAGGUUG